UACGUAGGGGGCCAGCGUUGUCCGGAAUCAUUGGGCGUAAAGCGCGCGUAGGCGGCCAGAUAAGUCCGGUGUGAAAGUCAAAGGCUCAACCUUUGAAUGCCGCUGGAAACUGCCUGGCUUGAGUCCGGAAGGGGCGAGUGGAAUUCCUGGUGUAGCGGUGAAAUGCGCAGAUAUCAGGAGGAACACCAAUGGCGAAGGCAGCUCGCUGGAACGGUACUGACGCUGAGGCGCGAAAGCUAGGGGAGCAAACAGG
This 253-nucleotide ribosomal RNA is filed under the name uncultured bacterium. RNAcentral describes it as "partial 16S ribosomal RNA". It matches the Rfam family "Bacterial small subunit ribosomal RNA", at positions 524 to 776 of the family's 1533-position model. The record is from RNAcentral.